RNAcentral lists this ribosomal RNA (300 nucleotides) under uncultured Prevotella sp. RNAcentral describes it as "bacterial SSU rRNA". It matches the Rfam family "Bacterial small subunit ribosomal RNA", at positions 354 to 649 of the family's 1533-position model. Lineage: Bacteria; Pseudomonadati; Bacteroidota; Bacteroidia; Bacteroidales; Prevotellaceae. The record is from RNAcentral.
UGAGGGAAUAUUGGGUCAGUGGGGCGCGAGCCUGAACCAGCCAAGUAGCGUGCGGGAGGAAGGCCCUAUGGGUUGUAAACCGCUUUUACCGGGGGAUAAAGUGAGCGACGUGUCGCUCAUUGCAGGUACCCGGCGAAUAAGGACCGGCUAAUUCCGUGCCAGCAGCCGCGGUAAUACGGAAGGUCCGGGCGUUAUCCGGAUUUAUUGGGUUUAAAGGGAGCGUAGGCCGGAUGUCAAGCGUGUUGUGAAAUGCCGGGGCUCAACCUUGGCACUGCAGCGCGAACUGGCGUCCUUGAGUGC